CAUGAUCAGGGAUAUUCCUUUCCCUAACACAAAUUUCAUGAAAGAUUUAUCAGGAACUGGAAACUCAAUAGCCAGUAAGCACAAGUGCACUGUGUAAUGCUAAAAGGGUUUUCAAUAUACCGGUAAAUUUUCAGAGCUUCUAGGGCAACAGCACAAGAAACUGGAUGGCCAGAGUAUGUAAAGCCAUGAGCAAAACCGCCUGUAAGAGAAUGAAUCACAUCAGAUAUUUCUGGGCUAAUGAGAGUUGCUCCGAUUGGGACAUAGGCAGAUGAGAGAGCCUAACAUGGAGACAAGAUCUGGUUUGAUGUUGUACAUAUCAGACCCAAACAUGGUUCCCAGCCGUCCAAAUCCAGUAACGACCUGGAGUUGAUGGACAUCGUACUUCUUAAGUACCGCUUGAAUCUGUUGGCCGACAACACAGCAGCACAUGAUGAAUAGGUAGGAACAAGUUUAACAGUACAUGAUACAAAUUACUGAACUUAUAAAUGGUUUUGUACUUUUAUUUUCUACCCAGAAGGUACAAAAUAGUUACUACUAAUCUCAGCCAUUGAUUAAAAUGGGUGUUUUUGUACUUUGUUAAUUAAAUGAUUAGUAAUAUUUUGUAAUUUUGAUUUUUGGCAAUAAAGAUCACAAUAAAAGGACAAUAUUACUCCUUCAAAUUUUUACUAUAUAUAAUAUUGUUGAUAGUGUCAUUUAAUCCCAGUCGUCUGAUAAAAAUAGAUCAACAGUAUCGAUUAAACUAUAAUGAAAAAUGCGUCAGAGACAGACUAUAUGUAUACCCACCUUCUCAAAAUAUGUCUUCGGAGGAGGGAUGAUACCUCCAGCAGCCAUUACAGGUUCAGCAAUGAAAGCAGCAACCUGAGAGGUGAAGAAGAAUUAUAUCAGUAAAAUUUGGGUAUGCAGAUAAAAUGUAAGUUUUGGCAUGCAGAGGACUUUACUGUUUCUGGUCCUUC
Oryza brachyantha (malo sina) is the source of this 953-nucleotide long non-coding RNA. RefSeq lists it as uncharacterized. NCBI's taxonomy places the organism in Eukaryota, Viridiplantae, Streptophyta, Magnoliopsida, Poales, Poaceae. The transcript has 4 exons. The record is from RefSeq and is a predicted model, not a curated record.